ACCAACAGGGAUUGCCCCAGUAACGGCGAGUGAAGCGGCAACAGCUCAAAUUUGAAAUCUGGCCCUCGCGGUCCGAGUUGUAAUUUGCAGAGGAUGCUUUGGGCGCGGCGCCUUCCGAGUUCCCUGGAACGGGACGCCGGAGAGGGUGAGAGCCCCGUACGGUUGGACGCCUAGCCCUUGUAUAGCUCCUUCGACGAGUCGAGUAGUUUGGGAAUGCUGCUCUAAAUGGGAGGUAAAUUUCUUCUAAAGCUAAAUACCGGCCAGAGACCGAUAGCGCACAAGUAGAGUGAUCGAAAGAUGAAAAGCACUUUGAAAAGAGGGUUAAAUAGCACGUGAAAUUGUUGAAAGGGAAGCGUUUGCGACCAGACCUCUUCCGGGCGGAUCAUCCGGCGUUCUCGCCGGUGCACUCCGCCCCGGAUUAGGCCAGCAUCGGUUCCUCUAGGGGGAUAAAGGCGGGGGGAACGUAGCUCCCUCGGGAGUGUUAUAGCCCCCCGCGCAAUGCCACUCGGGGGACCGAGGACCGCGCUUCGGCAAGGAUGCUGGCGUAAUGGUCGUCAACGACCCGUCUUGAAACACGGACCAAGGAGUCGAACAUUUGUGCGAGUGUUUGGGUGCCAAACCCUCACGCGUAAUGAAAGUGAACGGAGGUGAGAGCCCUCGCGGGUGCAUCAUCGACCGAUCCUGAUGUCUUCGGAUGGAUUUGAGUAAGAGCACAACUGUUCGGACCCGAAAGAUGGUGAACUAUGCGUGGAUAGGGUGAAGCCAGAGGAAACUCUGGUGGAGGCUCGCAGCGGUUCUGACGUGCAAAUCGAUCGUCAAAUCUGCGCAUGGGGGCGAAAGACUUAUCGAACUAUCUWG
RNAcentral lists this ribosomal RNA (858 nucleotides) under Hypoxylon sp. XVM-2021b. Its description in RNAcentral is "partial large subunit ribosomal RNA". Lineage: Eukaryota; Fungi; Ascomycota; Sordariomycetes; Xylariales; Hypoxylaceae. The record is from RNAcentral.